Molecule: ribosomal RNA, 235 nt
Filed under: uncultured bacterium
Lineage: Bacteria
Description: partial 16S ribosomal RNA
Rfam family: Bacterial small subunit ribosomal RNA
Source: RNAcentral
CGGCGGGCGGGUGAGUAAUGUCUGGGAAACUGCCUGAUGGAGGGGGAUAACUACUGGAAACGGUAGCUAAUACCGCAUAACGUCUUCGGACCAAAGUGGGGGACCUUCGGGCCUCACGCCAUCGGAUGUGCCCAGAUGGGAUUAGCUAGUAGGUGGGGUAAUGGCUCACCUAGGCGACGAUCCCUAGCUGGUCUGAGAGGAUGACCAGCCACACUGGAACUGAGAUACGGUCCAG